Long non-coding RNA from Daphnia pulicaria, 931 nucleotides. RefSeq lists it as uncharacterized. The transcript is spliced from 4 exons. NCBI's taxonomy places the organism in Eukaryota, Metazoa, Arthropoda, Branchiopoda, Diplostraca, Daphniidae. The record is from RefSeq and is a predicted model, not a curated record.
CUGUCGUCUAACGUCAAAAUGAUGGUUACAUUUUGAAAGCUGUCAAGAAAGUUGUUGCUGAGAAACAAAAAGUAUCUGAUUUUUCCAAAGAAACCUCCAUCCCAAAAAGAUCUCUACUGAAAUAUGUCAAAAAUUUCUUGGCUAAUGGAAUUCAAGAUGAAGUUGAAGCAACUACAAUCAUUGGGGGUUACCAAAAACCUCGUAAGGUUUUCAGCAGCGAACAAGAAAGCAAUCUUAGCAGUUACGUCAAAAGGGCCAGUGACAUUUAUCAUGGAAUCACUACCACAGACAUGAGAAGAUUGGCUUAUCAGUACGCUACCCAAGAAAAAUGUAUUGUCCCUCUUUCUUGGUCGGUCAAGAAGGAAGCUGGAAGAGACUGGCUCUCUGGUUUCAUGAGAACACGUCAAGACCUUUCAAUCAGAAAACCACAAGCAACAUCUCUAAGCAGAGCUACCAGCUUCAACAAGCAUUACGUUGAUUCCUUCUUUGACAAUGUUGAGGUUGAACUUCAGGUGAGAGAUGCACACUGGUUACAGUCUGCCUUACAGUAUCUGCCACAGGGAAGUCUAUUCCACCAUAUUUUGUCUUUCCACGAGUUCAUUUUAAGGAAUAUUUCCUCAAUGGUGCCCCUCUUGUUUCUGUUGGAUCCGCCAAUAAUCUGGCUGGAUAUGUCAGAAAGAUCGGUCGACUUUGCUCCAUCUUUCGUCACGGAUCGUCCUUUUAAUUCAUCACCAGUCCCAUCUUCAUAGGAAUCCCAGCAUCCAACGAUAACAUCGUCCAAGAAGGCCAAACUCCCGUUCCAGUCCAAAAAGACCAAACUCCCGUUCCAGAGAACCACAUCACGGCCAAUGUUCUUAGUUAUUUUAAUGAUCUUCAUGUCGUGGCCAUUUUAAUUUGUGAUUUUUAAAUAACUUAUGUAUCGUUAUCAUUU